Non-coding RNA from Triticum urartu, 5163 nucleotides. The record is from RefSeq and is a predicted model, not a curated record. NCBI's taxonomy places the organism in Eukaryota, Viridiplantae, Streptophyta, Magnoliopsida, Poales, Poaceae.
CGAAAAAAAACCCCACCAGAGGAAAACCCGCUCCUCUCGAUUCCUAUCCCCAUGACGUACGACAUCCUUCGCCGCAGCCCCAUCUCCGAUCUCCCUUCGCCGCCGCCCUCGCACUCGCAUCAAGUCGCCGCCGAUCCCUGCGCUACCUCCGCCCUGCGCCACCACUCCUAUGACGCCGCCUCCCGCCAGUCUCCACCAGCACCGCGACGUGCGUGGCCUCCACACGCGCCGUCACUGCCCCUCGAGGUCCGGCCGUCGUCGAGGGCGUAUCCAUCCAGCAGUGCGCCGUCACCUCCCUUCCAGAUCCGGCCGUCGUCAAGGUCGUAUCCAUCCAGCAGCACGCUGGCAUCCCAAUCAUCACCUUCCGCGGUGUCAUCGCCCAGGCCCAGUAUGGGGCCGGCAAGACGUCCAUGAUCUCCCUCUUCGUCUGCCAGGUUAUCGAGACCAACGUCCACAAGGUGCAGGCAUUAGCGACGACAUGGACAGGGGCUUCACUGACAGGAAGAACUUGCUCAUGGACCGCAGGACCAUGGCUCCCAAGAUCGACGACCUCAGGUCUCAGCCGUGCCUUUAGGGUUCCUCUCAAGAAUUACACACAAGUUUCUUACUCGAGGUACCGACCCUGAGGUCCUUCUUGGUGCCACAUGUGGUUGGUGGGCUGCAUUUUUAAGUUGGUAUGAUGAACUGGACUUUGUAAAUGAGCACAUAUAUACACUGAAUCCUGGUAAAUGGCAGCUGAAUUUCAAGUACAGGGGACUCUUCUGCCCGAUCACAGUUUUCACACAUUAAUAACUAUAUGGCUCCAUCAGCGUGAACGCAAAGAUGUGAACGUCCAUAUCGGUCUUGUUUGAUAUUCUUUGAGUUGGUUUAGAUAGAGAGAAGUGACCUCUUUCAUGUCAAGUGCAUGUGCCAUUUACUACAGCCAAAGUGUAGACUGAUGUACGCUCAUAACUUGUUCUUUUGCUUUUUCUUGGCUGCAUGCUUGCAUCCAAUUCAGAUUUUCCAUGUGCACUUCAGAACUAAUCAUGCUUGUACAGAUGAGGAAUUGAGCAUGUUUUUUAGUCUUUGAUGGAAACUGAACAAGUUUCUCAUGAGUUUUUUUAUAUACUUCAAGCCUACUGCUCAUCCAGCUCUAUGUGCAGUUUGGAGAUAUGCUUUAUUGAUCAUGCAACCUCCUUCUUUUCUCAUCCCUUUUAUGUUUUUAUUUCAAAUACUCUGUGUUAGCAAAAUCCUGUUGCAUGACUAGACCAACUAUCUGGUGAUUCAGGCACUACAUUAGUGAUUGGGGCAAUGGUCAGACCUGCUUGCAUGAAAAAAAGGGCAAUUUUGAUGUGCUUGCAGGAGCUCAGAACUCACCUAUUGAUGACUCACCUUGGAAACUGGUUUUUUAAAGGCUGACAAGGCGACAUAUGCGGGGCCUUCUUCAGUUUCAAGUCACACAUGCCAUCGUCGUCCAGUGCCGCCCUGGACUAGCAGCUUGUCGCCUACACCUCAAUACAAUACCCAGAAGUGCAUCCGCGCCGGCAGCAAGCACAACGACCUUGACGCCAUGGGAAACAAUACUCCUUGAUGGGAACUAGACCUUCAGGUAUGAUGGGAGCUUCGAAGAGGAAGCCAGCGGAUAUUCAUGGGAGCUCCUCGUCAAAGUGAGGGAUUUAGUAUAGAAAGCUACUUUACAAGUAGUCUCAAGCUGGAGGAUAACAGAUUGGUCGCGACGUUAAGGAUCCCCAUCAAUGUUAUACUAUUUGUCUCCAGGUUGGACUGUUACACGCUGCUGUUCCCCGUUGCGUUCUGGAUCAGAAAGAGAUCGAAAUCCCUUUCUUCUUCUCCCCCAUGUCGCCGUCGAUGGCUCCCUUGGGGCAGCGCUGAACUCCGACCAGCAACGGUGGUCAGAGUCUUGGUGGUGGUGGCGGCGGCGGCGGUGCAACCCGUCAAUCUUCCCCGACCUGUUCCUUCUCCCACGGCCGCUCUCUCCCCCGUCCUCAAACCCUAGGUCGACGGCUCUGUCGAUGCGGCGGCGGCUGCUGCGGUCUGUCUGAUUUCGCGGCGGCGCAGACGAACUGAGGUUAAGCAAUGGAUCAACUAGAUUGGUUAGGCAUCCGUUUCUUUUACAAUGGCCAAUUUGAGAAUUCAAACAAGCAAUUGUCAUAUGUUGGUGGUAAUAUACAACUCACAUCUGUUGAGAGGUACAAUAUAUCCUUAGCUACUGUCAGGGAGCAGUUAGCAGAUAUAAAGAUGGCCUACCAUGGUGAAGAGAUAACAGAGAAGCAUAGGCUUUACUGGUUGUUUCUUGGAAAAAAAUGUUAGAGAUGGGUUGAGACGACUGGACACUGAUAGAAAUGUGUUCUUCAUGGAUAGGUGUAUUACAGAUUGUGGGGUUGUGGAUGUGUAUGUGAAUUAUGAAGAUGAUGUUGAUGAAGAUGGACAGAACAGUGUGUCUGAUAUUGGAGAGAAAGAGGAAGAGGAAACUAAUGCUGCAAUUGAAGAAGACAAGACAGAAGAGAAGAGUGGCAGUGAUUGGGAAGAUGAGCAUGACAAUUGCUCUGCUGAGGAUGACCUGGAGCACAGUUCAGAGGAAGAUGUGGAUGAGCCUGACAAGACUGAGUAUGCUGUACAAGAUGAAUUGCAACCUGAAACUGGAAAUGUUCCUGAAGUAGAUGUUGCACCUGAUGAAAUAAGGGAUGAAUAUGCAGAUCUUGAUUGGUGCCCUAAAGAUGAAGACAGUUCAGGUGAAGAUGAUGAGGCAGAGGAGCUCAGAAAGCAUGCUAAGGAAGUGCUCAGAAAGAUCGGAAUGGGGUUGCCACUUGAUGAAGAGAAGGAAGUGAAAGAAAGUACAACACAAUUAAUUCCUUUUGAUGAAAUGGACGAAGGAAAUGACACUCCAUACAUGGAUUCCAGUGAGGAAUACAGUUAUGAUGAGGAUGAGCAUGGGAAUUCAUUUAGGAUGAAAUCAAGAUUUCCAAGAUUUGAUAGCAAGGCUGCAAUUCCAAUAUUCAGUUUGGGCAUGACAUUUAGAGGAAGAAGUCGUUCAAGAGGGCACUCGUGAAGUAUGGCCUGGCUAUGAAGAGGCAUAUUUGCUUUGUAAAAGAUGAGGCUGGUAGGAUUAGGGCAAAAUGUUCUUGGCCUAAGUGUCCUUGGUUGAUUUAUGGUGCAAAGAGGAGCUCAAAUGAUUGGUUUCAAGUCAUAACACUUGUUGACAACCACAUAUGCCCAAAGAGGAGAGACAACAGAUUGGUUACUGCACCUAGAAUUGCAGACAAGUAUGAGAGAAUUAUGAAGGCAAAUCCAGGAUGGAAAGUGAAAUCUAUUAAGGCCACUGUCAUAUUAGAGAUGUUUGCAGAUGUGCAUGUUUCCAAAAUAAAGAAAGCAAAAGCAAUAGUCAGAAAGAGAGUUAGAGAAGCAAUGCAUGAAGAAUAUGCCAGGGUGUUUGAUUAUCAGCUAGAAAUAUUGAGGAGCAAUCCAGGAAGCACUGUGGCAGUUGUGCUUAAUCCAAAAGAAACUGCACCAGUUUUUCAGAGAUUGUAUGUGUGCUUUCAGGCUUGCAAGAGAGGUUUCAUAGAAGGGUGCAGGAAAGUAGUGGGUUUGGAUGGCUGCUUCUUUAAGGGGGCUCAAAGUGGAGAGCUACUAUGUGCUCUUGGAAGAGAUGCAAAUGGGCAAAUGUAUCCCAUUGCUUGGGCGGCAGUUGAGGUGGAAAAUAAGGACUCCUGGUUUUGGUUUAUGGCAUUGUUAAAUAAAGACUUGGAGAUUUCAAAUCAAGGUGAAGGCUGGGUGUUUAUAUCAGAUUAGCAGAAAGGUCUAAUCAAUGCAAUUUCAAAGGUUGUACCGAGAGCUGAACACAGAAAUUGUGCUAGGCACAUUUAUGCUAACUGGAAGAAAAAACAUAGGGACCAGAAAUACCAGAAGAGAUUUUGGGCUUGUGCAAAGUCUUCUAACAGAGUUCAGUUUAAUUUGAACAGGGCAAAGCUUGCUCAGCUCACACCAGAAGGAGCAAGAGACAUGAUGCAGGCUGGGCCUGAACAUUGGUGUAGAGCAUGGUUCAAAGAAGGAUCAUUCUGUGAUUCAGUCGACAACAAUAUGUGUGAAAGUUUUAACAAUUGGAUAGUGGAAUAUAGAGGUCUUCCUAUAAUCAGUAUGUUUGAAGCAAUCAGAGUAAAGGUGACAGUUAGGAUUCAAGUUAAUAGAGCUAUGCCAGCCAAUUGGAAUGGAACAAUUUGUCCCAAAAUCCUCAAAAAGGUGAACAAGUUUAUACAACUUACUGAGAAGUGUGAGACAAUAUGGAAUGGAAAAGAUGGAUAUGAGGUGAAGUUAGGAUAGCAUGGAUUCAAAGUUGACUUGCAAGCAGGAACAUGUUCUUGUAGAUACUGGCAAUUGUCAGGAAUUCCAUGUGUUCAUGCUCUAGCAGUUUCACAGUGUGGCCCUAAUGACAUAGAUUCACUUAUUGCACCUUGCUACAGAAUUGAAGCUUACAACAAGACAUAUGAACAUGUCAUGAUGCCAAUGGAGGGCAUGCCUAGCUGGCCAAUAUCUGACAGACCUAGACCAUUAGUUCCAAGCUAUGUGCAAAUGCCUGGGAGGCCCAGGACAGAGAGAAUAAGAGGUGGAGAUGAGCCUCCUAAGCAUGCACACAAACUCUCCAAGAUUGGAACUAAGAUCAAGUGUAGUUUACGAUGGAAAUCCUGGGCACAACAUGAGGAAAUGCAAUACUAACCCCAACAAGGGAAAGUACAAGAAUAGGAAGAGGAAAAAAGAAACAAAAGAAAAUCCUCCAAGGACAUCUCAAAGAGUAGCAUAUGAAACUGCUACAGCCCAGUCUUCACAGCAUGCAGCUCAAACAUCACAUCAAGCUGCAGGAGGAAGAGCCCAGUCUUCACAGCAAGCUACAGGAGGGAGAGGCCAGUCUUCACAGCAAGCUACAGGAGGGACAGCACAGCCUAGAAGGGGAAGGCCUCCAAAGCAAGCAAACAGAACAGCUGGUGCUAGUUCUAGUCAGAGAAGGAGGAAAUCUACCAGGGUUAGCAUGUUUGAUGAACUGAGAGGUUAAACAGGAAAAAUUUCUGUUGUUUAGAGCCUUCAAAUUGUGUUUGUUGUUGUUUGAUGAACUUGUGUUUGUUGCUGUUAAACUGCACAAUUUCUUUUUAAGGAACUAGUGUUUGUUACUGCUAA